RNAcentral lists this ribosomal RNA (301 nucleotides) under uncultured bacterium. RNAcentral describes it as "partial 16S ribosomal RNA". It matches the Rfam family "Bacterial small subunit ribosomal RNA", at positions 509 to 807 of the family's 1533-position model. The record is from RNAcentral.
CAGUAGCCGCGGUAAUACGUAGGUGGCAAGCGUUGUCCGGAAUUAUUGGGCGUAAAGGGCUCGCAGGCGGUUUCUUAAGUCUGAUGUGAAAGCCCCCGGCUCAACCGGGGAGGGUCAUUGGAAACUGGGAAACUUGAGUGCAGAAGAGGAGAGUGGAAUUCCACGUGUAGCGGUGAAAUGCGUAGAGAUGUGGAGGAACACCAGUGGCGAAGGCGACUCUCUGGUCUGUAACUGACGCAGAGGGACGAAAGCGUGGGGAGCGAACAGGAUUAGAUACCCCUGUAGUCCCUGUCUCUUAUAC